Molecule: small nucleolar RNA, 89 nt
Organism: Vicia villosa (hairy vetch)
Lineage: Eukaryota; Viridiplantae; Streptophyta; Magnoliopsida; Fabales; Fabaceae
Source: RefSeq, a predicted model, not a curated record
AAACAAUGUAUUGUAUCCGAAUUGUGGCGAUUCUCCGUUCCUAUCAAAUUUGUUAGUUUCGAAUAUGGCCUCAAACAAGUGGCUACAUU